AUGAGUUCUAAUGACACCGGAAAUCUAAAUAGUUGCAAGGACGAGACAUGGAAACGGAUCUGGAAGCUUCCGUGUCCGCGGAGUGUUCAGAUGUUUGCAUGGAGGCUGUUGCAUGAAUCUUUGGCACUACUAACAAAUAUGCAUAAGAGGGGUUUCAAACUGGAGAGCACGAAAUGCAUGUUUUGUGGCCGAGUUGAUGAAGAUGGGGCGCACCUGUUCAUCAAGUGCAAAUCAGUUAAGCAGGUCUGGAGAGAACUUGCCCUUGAGAAAGAAAGAAUGGAGCUGGAGACAAUCUCUUCAGUGCAUGCAAUGAUGGACUACUUAUGGGGUUUGGAUGAAAAGAAGCGUAUGCAUAUACUCACUUUCUGGUGGAUGUGGUGGAGUGCCCGGAAUAAAUUACGAAAGGGAGAGCUUGUUGCAGCGGCGGACGAAUUUGCGAGACGCAUGCGUAGCUGCGUUCUGGAGUACAUGCAGGUCUAUUUUCGGGCGCCCAAGAGGCCCCGUGCAGAUAAAUGGAGGCCACCAGCAGAGGAGAUGGUGAAAAUGAAUGUGGAUGGGUCCUUCGUUCCAGGGGAUGAUCAUGCUGGAUGGGGUGUCGUUGCGAGGACCUCUGAUGGUGUCCUUGUGGCAGCCCGAGCUGGAAGACAUGAACAUGUACAGGAUGUUUUUGCUGCAGAAGCUAUAGCUAUGGCAUACGGCGUGUUGAUGGCUGGGGACCUGGGAUUCCUAAGGGUGGAGUUUCAAACUGACUCGCAAUUGUUGGCAGAAGCCCUAGACCUCCGGCAGGUUGACUCGUCUCAAUAUGCCGCUGUUAUCGAGGACACGAAGUAUCAACUGAAGAUGUGGUUUUCAAAACAUGUGAUAAGAGUUUGUCGACGUAGUGCCAAUUCGGUUGCGCAUGAAUUAGCUAGUCUGGGUCGUAGGUACCCUGCAAACCAUUGUGUGCAAUGGGAGUCUGAUGUACCAGCCCAAGUGGGUGUUUAUGUCUCGGGUGAUCUACCUAAGAUCCGUUAA
Molecule: ribosomal RNA, 1014 nt
Filed under: Triticum aestivum (bread wheat)
Lineage: Eukaryota; Viridiplantae; Streptophyta; Magnoliopsida; Poales; Poaceae
Description: partial small subunit ribosomal RNA
Source: RNAcentral